RNAcentral lists this ribosomal RNA (465 nucleotides) under uncultured bacterium. RNAcentral describes it as "bacterial SSU rRNA". It matches the Rfam family "Bacterial small subunit ribosomal RNA", at positions 330 to 793 of the family's 1533-position model. The record is from RNAcentral.
CCCAGACUCCUACGGGAGGCAGCAGUGAGGAAUAUUGGUCAAUGGGCGGGAGCCUGAACCAGCCAAGCCGCGUGAGGGAAGAAGGUACAGCGUAUCGUAAACCUCUUUUGUCAGGGAACAAAGGCGGGGACUAGUCCCCGGAUGAGGGUACCUGAAGAAAAAGCAUCGGCUAACUCCGUGCCAGCAGCCGCGGUAAUACGGAGGAUGCGAGCGUUAUCCGGAUUUAUUGGGUUUAAAGGGUGCGCAGGCGGCCGGGUAAGUCAGGGGGAAAAGCCGGGGGCUCAACCGCGGCGAGCCGUUGAAACUGGCGGGCUGGAGUUGGAGAGAAGUACGCGGAAUGCGCGGUGUAGCGGUGAAAUGCUUAGAUAUCGCGCAGAACCCCGAUUGCGAAGGCAGCGUACCGGCUCCACACUGACGCUGAGGCACGAAAGCGUGGGUAUCGAGCAGGAUUAGAUACCCCAGUAC